GAGUAACGCGUGAGUAACCUGCCUUCAAGAGGGGGAUAACAUUCUGAAAAGAAUGCUAAUACCGCAUGACAUAUCGGAACCACAUGGUUUUGAUAUCAAAGAUUUUAUCGCUUGAAGAUGGACUCGCGUCCGAUUAGUUAGUUGGUGAGGUAACGGCUCACCAAGACCGCGAUCGGUAGCCGGACUGAGAGGUUGAACGGCCACAUUGGGACUGAGACACGGCCCAGACUCCUACGGAGGCAGCAUG
Molecule: ribosomal RNA, 247 nt
Filed under: uncultured bacterium
Lineage: Bacteria
Description: partial 16S ribosomal RNA
Rfam family: Bacterial small subunit ribosomal RNA
Source: RNAcentral